GCAAGUCGAGCGAGCGGAACUAACAGAUUUACCUCGGUAAUGACGUUAGGAAAGCGAGCGGCGGAUGGGUGAGUAACACGUGGGGAACCUGCCCCAUAGUCUGGGAUACCACUUGGAAACAGGUGCUAAUACCGGAUAAGAAAGCAGAUCGCAUGAUCAGCUUUUAAAAGGCGGCGUAAGCUGUCGCUAUGGGAUGGCCCCGCGGUGCAUUAGCUAGUUGGUAAGGUAAAGGCUUACCAAGGCGAUGAUGCAUAGCCGAGUUGAGAGACUGAUCGGCCACAUUGGGACUGAGACACGGCCCAAACUCCUACGGGAGGCAGCAGUAGGGAAUCUUCCACAAUGGACGCAAGUCUGAUGGAGCAACGCCGCGUGAGUGAAGAAGGUUUUCGGAUCGUAAAGCUCUGUUGUUGGUGAAGAAGGAUAGAGGUAGUAACUGGCCUUUAUUUGACGGUAAUCAACCAGAAAGUCACGGCUAACUACGUGCCAGCAGCCGCGGUAAUACGUAGGUGGCAAGCGUUGUCCGGAUUUAUUGGGCGUAAAGCGAGCGCAGGCGGAAGAAUAAGUCUGAUGUGAAAGCCCUCGGCUUAACCGAGGAACUGCAUCGGAAACUGUUUUUCUUGAGUGCAGAAGAGGAGAGUGGAACUCCAUGUGUAGCGGUGGAAUGCGUAGAUAUAUGGAAGAACACCAGUGGCGAAGGCGGCUCUCUGGUCUGCAACUGACGCUGAGGCUCGAAAGCAUGGGUAGCGAACAGGAUUAGAUACCCUGGUAGUCCAUGCCGUAAACGAUGAGUGCUAAGUGUUGGGAGGUUUCCGCCUCUCAGUGCUGCAGCUAACGCAUUAAGCACUCCGCCUGGGGAGUACGACCGCAAGGUUGAAACUCAAAGGAAUUGACGGGG
Molecule: ribosomal RNA, 895 nt
Filed under: uncultured Lactobacillus sp.
Lineage: Bacteria; Bacillati; Bacillota; Bacilli; Lactobacillales; Lactobacillaceae
Description: bacterial SSU rRNA
Rfam family: Bacterial small subunit ribosomal RNA
Source: RNAcentral